This 467-nucleotide ribosomal RNA is filed under the name uncultured bacterium. RNAcentral's name for it is "partial 16S ribosomal RNA". It matches the Rfam family "Bacterial small subunit ribosomal RNA", at positions 28 to 507 of the family's 1533-position model. The record is from RNAcentral.
GACGAACGCUGGCGGCGUGCUUAACACAUGCAAGUCGAACGGAAAGGCCUCUUUCGGGGGGUACUCGAGUGGCGAACGGGUGAGUAACACGUGAGUAACCUGCCCUUGACUUUGGGAUAACUUCAGGAAACUGGGGCUAAUACCGGAUAGGAGCUCCUGCUGCAUGGUGGGGGUUGGAAAGUUUCGGCGGUUGGGGAUGGACUCGCGGCUUAUCAGCUUGUUGGUGGGGUAGUGGCUUACCAAGGCUCUGACGGGUAGCCGGCCUGAGAGGGUGACCGGCCACAUUGGGACUGAGAUACGGCCCAGACUCCUACGGGAGGCAGCAGUGGGGAAGAUUGCACAAUGGGUGGAAGCCUGAUGCAGCAACGCCGUGUGCGGGAUGACGGCCUUCGGGUUGGAAACCGCUUUCGCUCAUGACGAAGCUUUGUGUGACGGUAGUGGGUAAAGAAGCACCGGCUAACUACGUG